RNAcentral lists this long non-coding RNA (2951 nucleotides) under Canis lupus familiaris (dog). Its description in RNAcentral is "lncRNA (ENSCAFG00845027585.1)". Lineage: Eukaryota; Metazoa; Chordata; Mammalia; Carnivora; Canidae. The record is from RNAcentral.
CUCCUGCUCAUUAGGCGGAGCACCACUUGUCUCCAUCAUGAGAAGCCAGCAUUCCCCUCAGUACAACUGUGUCAGCAGCCACACAUGGAAGUGAGUGCUCUGAACUCAGGUGGCAAGGUUAUUGCCUGGGUCCCAGAGCUCAUCAGGGGCACAGCCAGGUUCAUUUGCUGCCUCUGGCAGCAUAACAGAUGCAUCCAUAUCCCCUGUUAUUUCUCUCUCUGCAGGUUUCAAAGGAAGAAUAAGGAGAAAUAAGGCAGCCCAUGAGAGGAGACAGUGCCAAAUUUGUAGAUUCAGCCUAAGGAGCCCCCUGCCCAUCCCCAGAACCUUCCUCCUGCAAAAUCCCGGCCUGGGAGUCGAACCUGAAGAACCUCAUGCCCCUGUACCUGCUGCCCAACCACAGCCAGAACAUUCUGUCCUGGGAAGACGCACCCCCGCACCGCCCUCUCCACCGCUGAGGAGCCAUGCCCGUUCCCCAGAACCUUCCUCCUGCAAAAUCCCUGCCUGGGAGUCGAAUCUGAAGAACCUCAUGCUCCUGCACCUGCUGCCCAACCACAGCCAGAACGUGCUGUCCUGGGAAGACGCACCCCCGGGGAGCCAGCAGGUCCAGGGCCCCGUGCCCACCGCCCUCUCCACCACCGAGGAGCCAGGGCAGGGGCAGGCUGUCCCGGGGCCGCAGCACCUGUGGCACGGCCAACCUGAAGAACAGAUGCCGGAGGUGGCUCAGGCCGGGGCCUCUCUGUCCAGCCGGGGUGCUGAGGGCCUGCCACCCACUCAGGGCAAGAGUGGGCUCCCCUUGCGGCCCCCCUGCCAGGAAGCCCCUGAGUCCACAGCCUGCGUUUGGCCACCAUCGUCGACCUGGGAUCACAACGCCUGAGGGCUUGGCAGGGCCGCUGUGUGCAGAGGGCAGUGCAUCCUGGAGAGUCCCCAGGACCAUUCCACAAGGAAGGUCCCCUUGUGUCCCCUCCCCCCCACCAGACACCAGGGGGGCUGCAGCCUGGCUUCCUCCUGAGGGGAGCGCUGGGCAGUGUGGUGGGGAGUCUGGGAGGCAAGGACCCCAGCGCCUCCCGACCCAGGCCUCGGAAGACUUCCAAGAGCUCUGUGUUUGCUCAGCAUAGAAGUCCCCUCCCCCAGCCCCACUCCCCCACCCCGUCCCGCCCGCCCCUCCUGCUCUCAGCUUGGCUCCCUAAGUUCUUGGAGCCUCCAGACACGCCCACGUGCUGUCCAGGACUCAGGACCCACCACUGUGCUGCUCUCACUUGUGUCGAUGAGCAGCAUUGAUAACAGGUUUGAACUUAAGCAGCUUUUAAGGAAAUUCUUCAGAAUUUCUCAGGAAGUUAUAUUACAGGACAUAAUAGAAAUUAAUUUUAUUGGCAAUAAACUUUAAACCAAUCUUGGUUAAUUUUACAUUUGAGUGCCAGGUGGCCUUUUUGCAGUCUUAAUGUGCCCUGCCUGCCCCCCAGCCUGAGCCACCCGGCGCUGGGCCCCGAAGUCCAGCAUGCACCGGCCGGGUCUGGGCCUGCAGAAGUGGCCCCCAGUCCACCCCAUCCCCCUGCCCCAGCUCCCAGGCAGGCAGGUUGGGAGGCUAACCUGAGGGCGGCCCGAGUGCAGCCCAUGUGGGCAGCAACUCUCUGGACCCCAGAGGUGGCCACCUAUUUCUCUGAGCAGUUUGCUGUGGCUCCAGCCUGAACCCACAGCCCCCUGCUGCCGCGUGGGCAGGCUUGCUCGCCGGGCUUCCUGGAGGAGGUGGCCCUGGCCCAGGCUCCUCACCUUCCAUGCCUGUUCCUCCAACAGGCACCCUGUACUCCCUGGGACCUGCCCACCUCCCCACCAUGCUCGCCCUCACCCAUGGACCUCCCUGCAGUAAUCAUUUCCACCCUUCCUCCUGAUGGAACCUGUUACCUGCAGGCCCUUCCCCAGGUGGGCCAGCCCUUCCUGCCAGGCUCCCCUUCCCCAUUUCUGUAUCUCCCUGCAUUGCUCCCAAGCCUCCCAGGACCUGUUCCCCCCAAGUGCUUGAAACUUGGUCAUGGCCCCCACAUGGCAGCUGCCCGACCUUGUGUCCUGAGAGCCUCCAAGUCCACACAGGCUCACAGGACCACAGAACCCAGCACCUGCCUGACCUGACAUCAACCUUGAGAGACGAUCCUCUGGCUCCUAGAGGGGACGUAGUCUCGGCCUCCCACCCAAACUCACACACCAGAAGAUUCUCCAACAGAGAACAGGUCAGAAACUAACCAGGUCUUGACAAGGACGACAGGCUGUGCGAGCUGCACGUGGAGCUCGGUGCUGCGGACACGGCCGGGGGCCACAUGAGAGUCAACCGUGGAGCAAAGCCCAGGUAUGUGACACAAAGGAAGGGCUUCUGGCUUUAUGGUGAAAGUUUCACCACAAAACAGUUGGCGCUGUCAUAAAUAUGUAAUUUUGUUGCAUCCUGUAUUUAUACAGAGUGCGAAAACCCCCAGGAAACUUUUGAGAGAAAGAUGAACUGAGACAUAAGUGGUGAAGGGUUGGGGCUUCUUUGAAACCAGGCCUUGAGCCAGAAGCAAAGGGCACAGGCGGCAAGGGUCCAAGGUGAACCCGGCAGCAAUCGGCUGAGCUGAACGGGCCCAAGUUGAGAAGCUUGGUGUCUCAGAGUCUAAGAUCAGUGAAGACAAGCUCAUGACCAAAGACCACAGACCAUCAUGGGUGAGAGUCAACAAAGAGUAAAGAGAGGAUUCAGACGCCCAGGAACGUGAGAAAUCAGAAAUACACAAUAGUAAGUGGGAUGCACAAAAUAUUUAAAUGUGAGACCGAAAGACAAUAAGAAGAGGAUUUUCUAAAUGAUCAGGAAGUUACACAAAAGGCCUGAAUAUAAUUUUUAGAAAUGAAUAUGCUUGUUACAAACUUAAACACCAGAUUAGAGCUAGCUGAAGAGAGAACAUUGGACUGGAACAUAAUUUGAGGAAAUUAUCAGA